Molecule: ribosomal RNA, 775 nt
Filed under: uncultured Neocallimastigales
Lineage: Eukaryota; Fungi; Neocallimastigomycota; Neocallimastigomycetes; Neocallimastigales
Description: partial large subunit ribosomal RNA
Rfam family: Eukaryotic large subunit ribosomal RNA
Source: RNAcentral
CGCAUCUGUGCAUGCAGCAUAUCAAUAAGCGGAGGAAAAGAAACUAACAAGGAUUCCCCUAGUAACGGCGAGUGAAGCGGGAAGAGCUCAAAUUUGAAAUCUUAAAGGGUUUCCCUUUACGAAUUGUAGUUUAAAGAAGUGUUUUCUGUUGAGGUUUUGGUAAAAGUUCUUUGGAAUAGGACAUCAUAGAGGGUGAGAAUCCCGUAUUUGACCUUUACUUUCAACUUUGUGAUACACUUUCAAAGAGUCGGAUUGUUUGGGAAUGCAGUCCAAAAUGGGUGGUAAAUUUCAUCUAAAGCUAAAUAUUGGCGAGAGACCGAUAGCGAACAAGUACCGUGAGGGAAAGAUGAAAAGAACUUUGAAAAGAGAGUUAAACAGUACGUGAAAUUGUCAAAAGGGAAGCGUUUGACACCAGUGUUGUUUUUCUGAAAAUCAAUUAAAGAACUGUUUAUGCUAAGCUGUUUAGACUUUAUCAGCUAACUGUUUAGUUUUGAGCUUUUCUUUAAUGCACUUUUCAGUUAACAAGUCAACAUCAAUUUCUUUUGCUGUAAAAAAGCUUGAGGAAGGUGGCUUGAGAUUCGUCUUAAGUGUUUAUAGCCUCUUGCCUAUGCAGUCGGAGAGAUUGAGGUCUGCAGCGUAGAUCCUUCGGGGCUAAAUGCAUUUGUGCUAAGUUAUAAGCAUUUUAUAGACAACUUGUUGACUAUGAUUUGUCUUGUAGCUUACUCGCUUAUGUUAUUCUACCUACGCUUAGGAUGUUGACAGCAGUAUAGACUGU